Aphis gossypii (cotton aphid) is the source of this 691-nucleotide long non-coding RNA. RefSeq lists it as uncharacterized. The transcript has 4 exons. Lineage: Eukaryota; Metazoa; Arthropoda; Insecta; Hemiptera; Aphididae. The record is from RefSeq and is a predicted model, not a curated record.
GAUGAUGAUGACAUCAUUGACGUCGCACAGUGUAGUUGACGCCGACGUGUAGGUAUAUACCAGCUAAAACACAUCACGAUAAUAUCAUACAAUCAGUGACGGUGGCGAAUCGUACCUUAUUAAAAUGUUUAAUAUAUUACAAUAAUAAUAAUAAUAAUAUGAAAUAUUGUGUGCGCAAUCCGCUGGGAGACGGUCGUGUUUUCGAAAUGCAAACGCCAAACGUAUCCAUAGGAAAACAAUCUGGUUUAUCAAAUGCGCGAUUUGCCUACAGUAAGGAGCGCAGCCACCGUUAGCCGUUGCAACCUUGAUAAUCAAGCUUGAAUAAGCUUCGUAAAUAGAUUUCAAAAAAUCAGAAGGAAAAUUGCUAUUGACAGAGACAAACAAUAAUAUAUGUAUACAUUUAACAGGGCCCCUAAAAGUUGAGAACCAAGAUCUAAAUAUUAUGAAUUUCAGAAUAAGGAAGAACGUGUGCAAUGAGUAUUUAUCGCAUAAUAUUAGGAAUAUCGUGCCGUCUGCAAGCGUUAUGCUGAGUAUGAUAUAAACCUAAAAAUUCUAAAGGAUUGUCUACUCGACACUCUAAACCAGGAAUAUCUGACUUCCUGCCACUCAAUGACUCCAUCAUAGAAUGUUCAGCAGUACCUAUAAUGUUAAUACAUACAUAAUAAAUAGAUUACACCAAAAACAAAAAUAA